CGGUAACAGGAAGCAGCUUGCUGCUUCGCUGACGAGUGGCGGACGGGUGAGUAAUGUCUGGGAAACUGCCUGAUGGAGGGGGAUAACUACUGGAAACGGUGGCUAAUACCGCAUAACGUCGCAAGACCAAAGAGGGGGACCUUCGGGCCUCUUGCCAUCAGAUGUGCCCAGAUGGGAUUAGCUUGUUGGUGAGGUAACGGCUCACCAAGGCGACGAUCCCUAGCUGGUCUGAGAGGAUGACCAGCCACACUGGAACUGAGACACGGUCCAGACUCCUACGGGAGGCAGCAGUGGGGAAUAUUGCACAAUGGGCGCAAGCCUGAUGCAGCCAUGCCGCGUGUAUGAAGAAGGCCUUC
RNAcentral lists this ribosomal RNA (356 nucleotides) under Salmonella enterica subsp. enterica serovar Typhimurium. Its description in RNAcentral is "bacterial SSU rRNA". It matches the Rfam family "Bacterial small subunit ribosomal RNA", at positions 67 to 419 of the family's 1533-position model. The record is from RNAcentral. Lineage: Bacteria; Pseudomonadati; Pseudomonadota; Gammaproteobacteria; Enterobacterales; Enterobacteriaceae.